RNAcentral lists this ribosomal RNA (859 nucleotides) under Stachybotrys sp. HGUP 0155. Its description in RNAcentral is "eukaryotic LSU rRNA". It matches the Rfam family "Eukaryotic large subunit ribosomal RNA", at positions 1 to 894 of the family's 3401-position model. The record is from RNAcentral. Lineage: Eukaryota; Fungi; Ascomycota; Sordariomycetes; Hypocreales; Stachybotryaceae.
CGUUGACCUCGGAUCAGGUAGGAAUACCCGCUGAACUUAAGCAUAUCAAUAAGCGGAGGAAAAGAAACCAACAGGGAUUGCCUCAGUAACGGCGAGUGAAGCGGCAACAGCUCAAAUUUGAAAUCUGGCCUAGGCCCGAGUUGUAAUUUGCAGAGGAUGCUUUUGGCGCGGUGCCUUCCGGAGUUCCCUGGAACGGGACGCCAUAGAGGGUGAGAGCCCCGUCUGGUUGGACACCAAGCCUUUGUAAAGCUCCUUCGACGAGUCGAGUAGUUUGGGAAUGCUGCUCAAAAUGGGAGGUAUAUGUCUUCUAAAGCUAAAUACCGGCCAGAGACCGAUAGCGCACAAGUAGAGUGAUCGAAAGAUGAAAAGCACUUUGGAAAGAGAGUUAAACAGCACGUGAAAUUGUUAAAAGGGAAGCGUUUAUGACCAGACUUGGGCCGGUUAAUCAUCCAGCGUUCUCGCUGGUGCACUUUGCCGGUCCAGGCCAGCAUCAGUUCGCUGCGGGGGAUAAAGGCGUCGGGAAUGUGGCUCCUCGGAGUGUUAUAGCCCUUCGCGUAAUACCCUGUGGUGGACUGAGGUUCGCGCUCUGCAAGGAUGCUGGCGUAAUGGUCAUCAACGACCCGUCUUGAAACACGGACCAAGGAGUCGUCUUCGUAUGCGAGUGUUCGGGUGUAAAACCCCUACGCGUAAUGAAAGUGAACGCAGGUGAGAGCUUCGGCGCAUCAUCGACCGAUCCUGAUGUUCUCGGAUGGAUUUGAGUAAGAGCAUACGGGGCCGGACCCGAAAGAAGGUGAACUAUGCCUGUAUAGGGUGAAGCCAGAGGAAACUCUGGUGGAGGCUCGCAGCGGUUCUGACGUGC